AAUUUUCCGCAAUGGGCGCAAGCCUGACGGAGCGACGCCGCGUGGGGGAUGACGCGUUUCGGCGUGUAAACCCCUUUUCUGGGGGAAGAAGCAAGUGACGGUACCCCAGGAAGAAGGACCGGCUAACUACGUGCCAGCAGCCGCGGUAAGACGUAGGGUCCGAGCGUUGUCCGGAGUUACUGGGCGUAAAGGGCGCGUAGGCGGCUUUCUACGUCCCACGUGAAAGCCCCUGGCUCAACCAGGGAGGGUCGUGGGAAACGGGGAAGCUGGAGGCAGCGAGAGGCUGGUGGAAUUCCCGGAGUAGUGGUGAAAUGCGUAGAGAUCGGGAGGAACACCGGUGGCGAAGGCGGCCAGCUGGCGCUGACCUGACGCUGAGGCGCGAAGGCGUGGGGAGCGAAC
Molecule: ribosomal RNA, 399 nt
Filed under: uncultured bacterium
Lineage: Bacteria
Description: bacterial SSU rRNA
Rfam family: Bacterial small subunit ribosomal RNA
Source: RNAcentral